Picea glauca (white spruce) is the source of this 121-nucleotide non-coding RNA. The record is from Rfam. NCBI's taxonomy places the organism in Eukaryota, Viridiplantae, Streptophyta, Pinopsida, Pinales, Pinaceae.
GCAUGCCUACAACAUAACGUUAAUGCACUGGAUCCCAUUAGAACUCUACAGUUAAGCACACUCAGGCUAGAGUAGUACUGGGAUGGGUGAACACUCAGAAAGUUCUAGUAUUUUACAUGCC